RNAcentral lists this ribosomal RNA (480 nucleotides) under uncultured bacterium. Its description in RNAcentral is "partial 16S ribosomal RNA". It matches the Rfam family "Bacterial small subunit ribosomal RNA", at positions 28 to 523 of the family's 1533-position model. The record is from RNAcentral.
GACGAACGCUGGCGGCGUGCUUAACACAUGCAAGUCGAGCGAUGAAGCACCUUCGGGUGUGGAUUAGCGGCGAACGGGUGAGGAACACGUGAGGAAUCUGCCUUCCACUCUGGGAUAACUCCGGGAAACCGGGGCUAAUACCGGAUAUUUUCAACUGGCGGCAUCGCCGGUUGAAGAAAGUUUUUCGGUGGAAGAUGACCUCGCGGCCUAUCAGCUUGUUGGUGAGGUAAAGGCUCACCAAGGCGACGACGGGUAGCCGGCCUGAGAGGGUGACCGGCCACACUGGGACUGAGACACGGCCCAGACUCCUACGGGAGGCAGCAGUGGGGAAUAUUGGGCAAUGGAGGAAACUCUGACCCAGCGACGCCGCGUGAGGGAUGAAGGCCUUCGGGUUGUAAACCUCUUUCAGCAGGGAAUAAGCGAAAGUGAAGGUACCUGCAGAAGAAGCACCGGCUAACUAUGUGCCAGCAGCCGCAGUAA